Molecule: ribosomal RNA, 293 nt
Filed under: uncultured Dacrymycetes
Lineage: Eukaryota; Fungi; Basidiomycota; Dacrymycetes
Description: partial 28S ribosomal RNA
Rfam family: Eukaryotic large subunit ribosomal RNA
Source: RNAcentral
AUAUCAAUAAGCGGAGGAAAAGAAACUAACAAGGAUUCCCCUAGUAACUGCGAGUGAAGCGGGAAGAGCUCAAAUUUGAAAUCUCCUUCGGGCGAGUUGUAAACUGGAGAAGCGUUAUCAGACGUUGACCGCACUAAAGUCUCCUGGAAUGGAGUGUCAUAGAGGGUGAGAAUCCCGUGCUUGGUGCGAUUGCGGCGUUGUAGAGGCGUUUUCUAUGAGUCGAGUUGUUUGGGAAUGCAGCUCAAAAUGGGUGGUAAACUCCAUCUAAAGCUAAAUACUGGCGAGAGACCGAU